AGAGUGAACGCUGGCGGCAGGCCUAACACAUGCAAGUCGAACGGCAGCGGGUCGUAGCAAUACGAUGCCGGCGAGUGGCGGACGGGUGAGGAAUACAUCGGAAUCUACCUUGUCGUGGGGGAUAACGUAGGGAAACUUACGCUAAUACCGCAUACGAACUACGGUUGAAAGCGGCGGACUCGCAAGUAGCGUCGCGCGAUUGGAUGAGCCGAUGUCCGAUUAGCUAGUUGGCGGGGUAAAGCCCAC
Molecule: ribosomal RNA, 246 nt
Filed under: uncultured soil bacterium
Lineage: Bacteria
Description: partial 16S ribosomal RNA
Rfam family: Bacterial small subunit ribosomal RNA
Source: RNAcentral